UUUGCGCCCUAUCGAAGCUGAGCGGCGGUGUUUGAGCCGCCGCCCGGUCAAAAUGGGCCCACAUUAGACUCCUUCAUUGGUCACUGGAUGGUUGCUUUAAUAGCUGUGCCAGUAUCACCCAAAAGGAGAACAGCG
Dendroctonus ponderosae (mountain pine beetle) is the source of this 135-nucleotide non-coding RNA. NCBI's taxonomy places the organism in Eukaryota, Metazoa, Arthropoda, Insecta, Coleoptera, Curculionidae. The record is from Rfam.